UUCCCUGCUUCUCCACCAAUUAGUGCAUCCAUAGUUUAAACGGGAAAAUUACAGUCUUCCAAACUGAGGUUGAGGG
RNAcentral lists this transfer RNA (76 nucleotides) under Citrobacter phage Mijalis. Its description in RNAcentral is "tRNA-Ala". The record is from RNAcentral. Lineage: Duplodnaviria; Heunggongvirae; Uroviricota; Caudoviricetes; Andersonviridae.